UGGUUCUGGCAUCGAUGAAGAACGCAGCGAAAUGCGAUAAGUAAUGCGAAUUGCAGAAUUCAGUGAAUCAUCGAAUCUUUGAACGCAUAUUGCGCCCCUUGGUAUUCCGAGGGGCAUGCCUGUUCGAGCGUCAUUACAACCCUCAAGCUUGGCUUGGUAUUGGGUACCGUUACUUAUCUAGCGGUCCUUAAAAUCAGAGGCGGUACUGUCGAGGUCCUGAGCGUAGUAAAUUCCCUCGCUACGGGACUUGGCAGCUACCAGCCACUAAUCCAACCUUCUAAGUUUGACCUCGGAUCAGGUAGGGAUACCCGCUGA
RNAcentral lists this unclassified non-coding RNA (315 nucleotides) under uncultured fungus. Its description in RNAcentral is "partial contains 5.8S ribosomal RNA and internal transcribed spacer 2". The stretch from base 1 to 133 matches the Rfam family "5.8S ribosomal RNA", at positions 22 to 154 of the family's 154-position model. The record is from RNAcentral. Lineage: Eukaryota; Fungi.